Esox lucius (northern pike) is the source of this 2207-nucleotide long non-coding RNA. NCBI's taxonomy places the organism in Eukaryota, Metazoa, Chordata, Actinopteri, Esociformes, Esocidae. The record is from Ensembl.
CAAAGACGGGCAAAGAACCCUGCAGCGGCCCCGGGGCAAAGACGGGCAAAGAACCCUGCAGCGGCCCCGGGGCAAAGACGGGCAAAGAACCCUAUAUUGAUCCCUGUCCAAAGAUUGACGACGAACCCUGCAGCGACCCCGGGGCAAAGUCCGGCAAAGAACCCUGCAGCGACCCCGGGGCAAAGUCCGGCAAAGAACCCUGCAGCGACCCCGGGGAAAAGACGGGUAAAGAACCCUGCAGCGACCCCGGGGCAAAGAAUGAGACUCCACAACCCAGCAAUCCUAUAUACACUCCACUGAUUGAUUUUCUGAGGAGCAAGAACCGACAGGCAGUCGGUCUUAAAGCACUCAUAGAGUGUCAUUGUGAUGGGCUGCCGCUCUUCUACCUGUGCCAGGUGUGUAAGUGUAAAGUCCUGCAGAACUCGAUUAUCUCCCAUGUCACUGGAGACAAUCACCGACAAUUAUCCCUGUGGCCUAUGAAUACUAUUCCCAAACGCCACAGGAGGUUGAGGGCAGCUGCCUUAAAGCUGGAGAAGACCUUGGGAUAUGGAGAAUUUAAGGUAGCAGUGUUGAAUGCGCGAACAUAUCAUUCUAUUUCUACUAAUUCCAUUCCCUUCGACAUGAAGGUAAAGAUGGUCUUGUGUGAUCACUAUUCAAGUGACCCCCGAUAUUUCGUCAUGCCUCUAGCUAAGAAGCCUAAGCCCAAGCUGAAGAAAAACAGUAAUGUCAAAACUCUGGCCCUAGACUGCAAUGACGUGUGUUCUCCCGCAGCACCCGCUGGGAGAUUCCCUGCUCUGUGGCGCUACCUGCAGCAGUCCAACAGACAGCCUGUCAUUGGUGUUGGUAUGUUGACAGAGUUGACCGAACGAGAUGGUGACUACGUCCUGUGUGGAUGCUGUUCUCACAAGAUGUUUCCAUCCUCUGUCACCUCACACGUCAUCUCUUCCAGACACCGCUACUACUACAUAAGAAUGGCACAUCCUGAGCUGGCUGUUAAUUGGCCAGAAAGUCCAGCGCUGAUUGUGUAUAAUGGGCCUCUUCAAAGAGAGCUGAGAGUGCAAGCUAAAGAACUGGAGGGUCAGGAAGGACCUGAACAUCCCCAGGUGGUGAAAGAAACAUCUGCUACAUCGGGAGGUGGACCCACAACCUGCCCAGAAGAGGUUGUCGAACAGAUCCAGAUUCACUCCGCUCCUGUCUCUGUGGAAGAGGAACCGGUUAACUCAGAGCCAUCACAGCCCCUCGGAGAAAAGAAAAAGACGAGGAAUAGGGGCAAUCCUGUGGUUGGAGUGAACUUCCUGGUCCGGGUGUCUCACAGAAAUAGGAAACAAUACUACUGUCAGCUGUGCUCCGUUAGGGUGAAGCAUCCCGUUAUUGAUCACAUGACCAGCCUCCGCCAUCGACACAGCUAUGUGAAAUUGAAGUACCCCAGUUGGACCUCCGACUCAGAGGCAAAGCUGUUCAAGAUGGCUUUUCACCUGGAGAAGGUGGAUCGAAGCGCUGGACUGGGCAUGCAGAAAGUAGAAGUGGAUGCUGUUGAAUUCAAGGAUCUAAGGUCUUGCCCUGUGGAGGAAGCUCUCAGUAAACUGCAGGCCAUUAUCAUACAGCAACAAGAGCCAGGUGAUCUGAAGAUGCAUCCCUCAACCAAUCAGAACCCAGAAGAUCUGAGACAGACUGCUCCCUCAUUGAGACCUGUCAGUGCCCAAGGGCCAUCUAACGGAGACCAGGAACACCUACAAGUACCUGCCUCCUCUCUCCAGGAUCAGCCGUCCUUUGGCUCCACAUCUGUCCCCCUCUCAUCCUCCAGUCCUCCUUGCCUCUCUCCCUCAAACUCCUUCUCUGCCUCUCUCCCCGCAGUGUCCCUAUCUGCCUCAACCUCCCUUUCUUCCUUUGUUCCAUCCUACACUCCCGUUUUGUCCACUGAGAAGACGACUGACCCCUCAUCAGAUGUUGUCUCUGUCCCCGAUCCUGUCUGUGAUCCUGUCUCUGUCCCUUCACCCCUCUCCGCUCUAAAGAACCCAACACAUCUGAAGGACUGCGAGAGUCCAGAGUGGUGGGAGAGGAGGAGCCCAGAAAACAGAGAGACACUAAUGCUUCUGGAACUCCCAGACAAACAGACGGAGUACGCGGCGGGAGACCGGCUGACGGAGUACGCGGCGGGAGACCGGCUGACGGAGUACGCGGCGGGAGACCGGCUGACGGAGUACGCG